UUCUGUGAUAGAGUUGGACCUGACCUUCCAGAAUUCUCGUUUGGCUUUCAGAUACUUAGGAAACCAUGUUUAAUAACCAGAGAAGAUCCCCUAAAGGUGAAGACUGAAUGGGAGUAAUUGGGUAACAGAUUUGUAUCAUCACUGUUGUCUUAACUUGGCAACAAUCCAGUCUGCUGGAAAUGUAAGCAGAGACUCUGGGUGGGAGUGGAUUUUCUUUUUCUUUCUUUCUUUUUUUUUUUUAUUUAAAGAUUUUAUUUAUUUGACAGAUACAGUGAGCGAGGGAACACAAGCAGGGGGAGUAGAAGAGGGAGAAGCAGGCUCCCCGCUGAGCAGGGAGCCCCAUGCGGGGCUCCAUCCCAGGACCCUGGGAUCAUGACCUGAGCUGAAGGCAGGCAUUUAACAACUGAGCCACCCAGGCGCCCCAAGAGCUGAUUUUCAACCAAAAGUCAGGGAGGAAAAAAAUCAAGGAAAGCCAUCCCCAGUACCUUGUUCACAAGGAACCAAAUGCUAUUCACAUCUUGUUGGGCCAUUGGAGUCAUCUGGAAGGCAGAGGGUUUUUUUGUUGUUGUUGUUUUUUAUCCAUUUGUCCUCAAAAUAAGAGAAAGCUGGGGAUAUCUGGGUGGCUCAGUCAGUUAAGAGUCUGACUUUGGCUCGAGUCAUGAUCCCAGGGUCCUGGCAUUGAUCCCUGUCGGGCUCCCUGUUCAGUAGGUAGCCUGCUUCUCUCUCUCUCUCUCUCUCUCUCUUUCUCUCAUGAGUAAAUAAAUAAAUAAAUAUUUUUUAAAAAGAGAGAAGCUGAAAAGAUGCUAAUCAGGCACUUGUGUUGUGGGGAAGGGCACAUACAGACUUUAUUUUAUGUGGUAAAAUUAGGGAAUGACUGACUGAACUAUGAACAUUUCUAAAUGAGGAACUGUGCCCUACAGGGCAUCCAAAAAUAUCAGCUGUGAGAAGGUGUGAAAUGUUCUAUCUGAAAAUACAUCAGAGAGUCUGUCAGAAAACAAUCUCAUAGAUUCAGGUUUUCAAUUUUCCUAAGAUGGACAGUGUGAUUAGUCUGGAUAAGAGAAGUCAUCGAUUUCGGGUGCCUGAGUGGCUCAGUCGGUUGAAAGUCGGCCUUUGGCUCAGGUUGUGAUCCCAGGGUCUUGGGGUCAAGCCCCGUGUUGCGCUCCCUGCUCUGUGGAGAGCCUGCUUUUCCUUCUCUCUCUCUGUGUCAAAUAAAUAAAAAAAUAAUAUAUAUUUUAAAAGUCAUCAGUUUCAAGCUCAUCCUCAGAAGAACUUAGACCUUAGGAGCACAAUUGAAUUCCUCAGUGGUUGGUGAAGUGACAUAGAGGCCAGAUUUGACCCCUGAUUGGUUUUGUACCAGUUCUGAGCCAAGAAUGAUGUUUGUAUCUUUAAAGGUGACACCUUGGAAAAAGUCAAAAGAAGAGAAUGAUUUUGUGAUGUGAAAAUUGAAGUUCAGUGAUGAUAAGUGAAAUCUUACUGGAAGACAGCCACAUCCGUCUGCUCACACGUGGGCUACAUGUCCCAGGGGCAGAAGGGGCAGACUUGAGGUGCUAGCUGGGCACAGAGUUUGCGUGACUUCAGAGCUGAAAAGGUUCACUCUGUUCCUUUACUGAGGGUGUUUGCUGACCCUUGCUCUUGGUGAAGGGUCUACUGGUGUUCAUUAUCCUCUUCUUGGGACUUAUAGAAGACUUGAGAAUUUUUAAACUAGAAAGUUAACAGAAAAAACCAGCCUGAGAAUCACCUGAGGUGCUUGAUGGACAUGGAGAAUCUCCAGCCCCAACUCAGACCGGAGAAUUGGCAUCUCUGGGGGUUGGCGCCGGGAAUAUAAUGUUAUAACAAGCUCUCCAGGUAUUUCUUCUAAAGAAAAAUCUGAGAAUUUUUCUGAGACCCCAUAAGGUUUAGUGAGCUCCUGUUACCUCUUUCGCUCCUUUCCUUCAGCAGAGAACACAUCUGAACAAGUCGUAAUGUUGUGUUUUUGAACCCUGAUCUCCGUGAUCUUCCCCAGAACUUUCUGUGACAGAUGCAGGGCAGAUCUGAUGUGCACAGCACAGUCUGUCACUGUUCCUGGGGCAGAAGUUUGGAGCCUGUGAUAAAACCCUCUCUCCAUCAUCUGAAAUUCUCAUUAGUAGAUGAUUCCUUUGGCUUGGGUGUUCCCACUCUGGAGGGCCAGCCAUCCUUUGUUUCCUGCAAGUUCUUGUUAGUUUUAGGAGUUUAAAGGAAAAUAUACAUUAAGCCACAAUCAAGCCACACGGAAUAACAAAAGUGUCAUUUCUUUGCUUUGGGAUGGAACUGUAUAUCCAACUCUGGUGAUUUCACAUUCCUGGAAGCACUAAUUGUCAAUUGCGUUCUCUUUUUUUUUUUUUAAGGUUAGAGUGAGUGACUUCAUACCGGCAGUUUGAUUUGUAAGUGAAAGCCUUUUAACACAUAAACUUUAUGAAGGCGGUGGGAGGCGGUUGGAUGAGCUUGGGAGAUUAUGAAAUUGGUCUUUGCCGACAGAGGUUGGGACACUCUGUGGGAGACUGUGGCAGGGCUCCCUUCAUCCACCUCCUCUCACCAGCCCAUGUUGGUCUGAAACACCCAGUUCCUGAGAGCGGAAGGCUUAGAUCAGAUGGGUUGCCCAUGGGAGCCAAUGUAGGAUCUUACAGAUCUCAGGGAGCAAGGGGCAUCCUUAGUUUCCAAUGUGUCAAGGAAGAAGAGAGUUCUGAUCCUGGGAGACAAAAGCCAUCCAAAACUUGUUGCCUCCCAAAACGUGCGCUUGAGCAGUCUUCUAAGGGAAGUGAUUCUUCGUGAGUAGUUAGUGGAUUUGAGACCGUGAAGUGCCUGAUCUGGUUCAUUGCUGUAGGUCUGGUGCAUGUUCUGGCUACCAGACUAGGUCUGAUGUCAUUCGGGGCUCUUUACUAGACUUGUGACUUCGGGUGCAUCCCUUAGUCCUGAUUUUCAGCUCUCUCGUCUCUACAAUGGGGCUAGCGAUACUGGGGUAAAAUUACAAAGAGGAUUGAAUGAGAACAAUCAUGGUUCCCAAACAAGGUUCAUUAUCAACAAUAACCAUGCCUGGGUCGUUUUGCUUACAAAACAAAAUAAAAAACAAAACUUAGACUUUCAGACCCCUGUGAAUUCUAAUUUAGUAGUUUCAGGGCGAAGGAUUAGGGAAUCUGUUUGGUUUAAAGCCGACUUUGGAGAUGAUGCCAGAUUCGGGAAACCCUGAAAAGUGCCUGUGAAAGCCCGUGGUCUAGUUCUAACACGCUCUCUGUACUCAGUUGUUGGUAUCUGGGAAACAGGACUUUGGGCCAGACAGUACGUGUUCAGUGACUCGGUGUGAGCAUCCUCAUGGACUCUGCUUUUGUGCUCUUUGUUGUGCUAGCUGUGAACCUCAGCAGGUCAGCUGUGUGUGGGCCAGCGCUAGGAGCUGUGGAAGACAGCUGUGGGGGAGACCCUGCGUCUGCACCCCGUUCCUCGGCUGCUGUAUACGGCUUUCUGCUCUCCCUUCCUGGGAGGGAAAAAGUGCGGUGCAGCUAAGAGUUUGCUCUUCCAAUCCCUCUUGUCCUAAACUCAACAUGGGCUAGAAACAACUUAUUUCUAAUUAUUACUCCAUCCUUCAACCACCCACGUUUUUACUUUUGUCAGAGAGAGGAAGCAGCAGGCAGAGGGAGAGGGAGAAGCAGGCUCCCCAUUGAGCAGGGAGCCUCAUGUGGGACUCCAUCCCAGGACCCCGGGAUCAUGACCCAAGCCAAAGGCAGACACUUAACCCACGGAGCCAUCCAGGCGUCCGUUCACUUUUGCUUCUCAUGAAGCAAGACAGAUGCUAACAUACAGUGAAAUGGUUCAACACUUAGGCUGAUCCGGCAAGCCGAAGCUGAGAGGCAGGUUUGGAGAAUGAGUCUCUUUGGCAGGGAAAUUUCCCGCAUUUUUCUGCACCCCAUUUCUUCCUCCUCCUGACUGCCCCAGGGUCCACUGCUGCGGUCUGGUCUGGUCCGAGGGGCCAAGACCACAUUCCCGGACCUCUCUGUACCUCUCACACCCCGACUCACACCUUCCAUGUCCAGCCUUCAGGAGCCUGAGCCCUUGCUAAACAAAUUCAAAGUCAGAUUAGUCCUCAUGUCUAAAACUAGUUUCCUCUGAGGCAAUGAUGCCGUUUUAAUAUCAGCCCACAGUGCUUAUAAUGCUCCUGGUAAUGUGUUGCUAGAAGUUUUGUGUACCCGGUUUGAGGUAAUUUUGCUCUCCUGCAUACUUCACCUACAAAUGAAGCUGAUGCUAUCAAAGCCUAGGGGAAGUUGCAAAUCUGGAAAAUCCACAAACCAGGUAAUCAGUCACUGGGUUAUGGGAUCAAUACCAUCAGACGGCAUAUCAGCAUUUGUAUUUGAAUGGAAUCCCUUCUGAUCAUCUUUUAGAAGGUUAUGGAUAAUAUGAUGAUUUUCCUCCUGCCCUUUUUUUUUUUUUUUAAGAUUUUAAUUAUUUGACAGAGAGAAAUCUCAAGAAGGCAGAGAGAUGGGGGUGGGGAGCAGGCUCCCUGCUGAGCAGAGAACCCCAUUGGGGCUCCAUCCCCGGACCCUGAGAUCAUGACCUGAGCCGAAGGGAGAGGCUUAACCCACUGAGCCACCCAGGCACCCCAAUUUUCCUCCUGCUUAAGCAAUGUUCUCAGAACACAGGCUAGAUGAGAACUGGAUGAGAACCCUACCUGGCUCAGAAACCUGUAAUCCAUUUGGAUUCCAGGCUCUGGGACUUGGCCACAAGAAAGAGUAUUUAUCCCAGUCUCUUCCAGGAAGCUGUGCUCUCUGAGCACUGGAAAAUCCCUUUGUUUAUAGUUGUCUUGCAUUUCUGUAAAUCGCCUUAUCUCAGUAGCUUAAAGGAAGAGAUUGGGUAAUUACAGCUUUCCUUUGUUACAGCUUUAUAUUGAAAACACAUGCCCCCAAGGUUAAAUGAGGAUCCAAGUGGAUAGAUAGAUGAUAUAUAAACAAAAUUAGAGAUCACAAGGAUUAGGAGUUUCCUGUGCACUUUCAUCCAGAGGAAGAAGGUUAAUUACAAAUACAAAAUUAUUAUUUUGAGGGGUAAAGGCAGGGUGAUUUUAUUAUAUUGAUGAUCUAUAUUUUCUGGCUCUUGUUUCCAAUUCCUUGAAAUGGGAUGAUUUUUAAAAAAAUUUUAGUUGUGAAUUUUUAAUGUGGUAUUAUCUAAAAUAAUUGGAUUCAGAAUCUAUUGACAAGUAUAAUGAUGGGAUAUUUUGGAUAGUCAACUUUGAAAUUAUCAACUUAAUGCCUAUGUCCUUGCUACAUACUUGAAUUAGUAGGAUAGGUUCUUUUCACUUUAUUCAGGUUCUUUAUCUUGUUCACAGAAGACAAGUGAUUAUUAUGAAGCAAUAAGGUACCCAGUGAAAGACUUAUCUAUUUUUUUAAAGAUUUUAUUUGUUUAUUUGACAGACAGAGAUCACAAGUAGACAGAGAGGCAGGCAGAGAGAGAGGGGGAGAAGCAGGUUCCUUGCUGAGCAGAGAGCCCGAUGCGGCUCGAUCCCAGGACUCUGGGAUCAUGACCUGAGCCGAAGGCAGAGGCUUCUCUUCUCGCUUCUCUCUCUUCUUGCUUCUCGCCUGAGCCACCCAGGUGCCCUUCCAUUAACUAUUUCUAUGCUUAAGUUAAGGACAGAGCCGGUGGAAUCUCAUUACUAAAUUCCUAAAUUUCCUAUUUUUUUUAAAGAAGUCAAUGAACUUUUUAAAAAAAUUAAAUUAAAUUAAUUAGCAUAUCGUGUAUUAUUUGUUUCAGGGGUACAGAUCUGUGAUUCAUCAGUCUUAUAUAAUACCCAGUGCUCAUUUUAAAGAAAUCCUGCCCUCCUUGUAACUGUGUGUGUGUGUGUGUGUGUGUCUAAUAUGCCUGAGAGUUUGUUAUGCUGAUAUCAUCACUACAACCAUGAAAUUAAGUCUUUAUCACUUGACCUUCACCUUGAAUUCAGUUUUCAAUGCUAUUUCACUUGAAUUUAAUUAAAAGCCCUCAAUAUGACAACCUUGAAUUUAAUUUAAUCUUCAACAUUAUGACCUUUAUCACAUUGUGAACAGAUCUAUCAUUUUAGUGUGUCAAAAAGUAUAUAUUCUUCACAGUGUUUCAUGUAAUCUAAAUUUGUAAAUACUGCCUCUGUUUUAUUUAUCCUUAAUAUACUUGACUGUCUAACUUGGUGAUAAGUGACAUGAACUUUAUAUUACAUAUAUUUCUUUGAAACCUCA
Long non-coding RNA from Mustela lutreola (European mink), 6200 nucleotides. RefSeq lists it as uncharacterized. NCBI's taxonomy places the organism in Eukaryota, Metazoa, Chordata, Mammalia, Carnivora, Mustelidae. The transcript is spliced from 2 exons. The record is from RefSeq and is a predicted model, not a curated record.